Ceratina calcarata is the source of this 730-nucleotide long non-coding RNA. RefSeq lists it as uncharacterized. The record is from RefSeq and is a predicted model, not a curated record. NCBI's taxonomy places the organism in Eukaryota, Metazoa, Arthropoda, Insecta, Hymenoptera, Apidae. The transcript is spliced from 3 exons.
AAGAAGUCUGUAUAAAUAAUCAAUCUAUUAAUUCAAGACUAAAUUAAUAAUAAUCUCAUUUCUUACUGAUACAGCGUGGAUAAAAAUGUAUGACAUUUGAAAACUGCUUAUAAAUGUCCAUUAAAAUAAUGUGUUAUUAAAUACAGGAUAUCAUAAUGCUGUGGAAUCAAUUGUCGUCUAGAUCGGAAAACCGAGCUACUGGAUGAUUUCCUCAAACGUUCUCUGUGCAUCCAGGAUCAACGACGGACAGGUAGACAGUUUUUCCAGUGAUCCGGUUCAUCAACGUCUCUCCCCGAUGUCGCAAGGUUUAUCUACAUUUCAUCUUGCACGAUCUAUUGGCCAACCGAUGCUCGAACGAUGCUCCUGAUAUUUAGUGUGCACGAGUUUCGCAACGCGGAGGCCGGGCAAACGUGCCGGUUCUCCAUUAUCGAAUUAAUUGUCAGAGAACUGAUCCUUUUCGGAGAACAAACUCUUCCAUCCGAGUUUCAUGUAAUAAACGAAACCUGUUUAACCGAUUAAUUUUUGCGUAAGGGAAAUGAUUAAAAUUUUUGGGUUCUAAUUGAACAAGCAAGUGGUAGAUUCUAAUUGAGACGAAUGAAUAAUUUUAUUCUUAUCACAUUCAUUUAUUUAUGUUAUUGUCUCGAUUGUACGAAAUUAACGAUAGGUAAAGUGCAUAACUAACGUAACCUCGAGUUAAGCAAAUGUACUUUGUACAAAAUCGUAUGUUUAU